This 527-nucleotide ribosomal RNA is filed under the name Penicillus dumetosus. RNAcentral's name for it is "SSU rRNA". It matches the Rfam family "Eukaryotic small subunit ribosomal RNA", at positions 576 to 1107 of the family's 1831-position model. Lineage: Eukaryota; Viridiplantae; Chlorophyta; Ulvophyceae; Bryopsidales; Halimedaceae. The record is from RNAcentral.
GCGGUAAUUCCAGCUCCAAUAGCGUAUAUGUAAAUUGUUGCGGUUGAAAAGCUCGUAGUUGGACUUCUGGCGUCCGCAUUCUGUCCACCUUGCGUGACGACGGUUUGCAGGCGUCGUUUUGUCGACGGUGCGUGUCGGACUUGAUUGGCCGGUGCGCUCUCUGUCGGCGACGUUACUUUGAGGAAAUCAGAGUGCUCAAAGCAAGCGUUUGCUCGUGACUUCACUAGCAUGGAAUAACACAGAUGGGCUCUUUUUCGCAACGUUGGUCUGCGUCAACUGAGCAACGAUCGAUAGAGACGGUCGGGGGCAUUCGUAUUGCGCAGUUAGAGGUGAAAUUCUCCGAUCUGCGCAAGACGCACUAAUGCGAAAGCAGUUGCCAAGGACGUUCUCUUAUGAUCAAGAGCGAAAGUCGGGGGAUCAAAGAUGAUUAGAUACCGUCGUAGUCCCGACCAUAAAUGAUGCCAACUGAGCGUCGGCGACGCGGCUGUCAGCCGGACGUCGGCGCUCUUGAGAGAAAUUAAAGUCUU